UAACCUUUUAGGAGCCAGCCGCCGAAGGUGGGACAGAUGAUUGGGGUGAAGUCGUAACAAGGUAGCCGUAUCGGAAGGUGCGGCUGGAUCACCUCCUUU
Molecule: ribosomal RNA, 99 nt
Filed under: Bacillus subtilis
Lineage: Bacteria; Bacillati; Bacillota; Bacilli; Caryophanales; Bacillaceae
Also listed under: 2 other names
Description: partial 16S ribosomal RNA
Rfam family: Bacterial small subunit ribosomal RNA
Source: RNAcentral